This 20560-nucleotide long non-coding RNA is filed under the name Nicotiana tabacum (common tobacco). RNAcentral describes it as "long non-coding RNA (NTAB_LNC013473)". Lineage: Eukaryota; Viridiplantae; Streptophyta; Magnoliopsida; Solanales; Solanaceae. The record is from RNAcentral.
CCGUCCAAACCUAGUCCAAUACCCGGUCCAGCUUGUUACUAAACCAAAAGACCCCGUUUUGUCCCUUUAAUACUUCCCUUCAUCUUCUCUCAUCCAAUGGACGAGAACUCAACUCCCCUAUUAAAUAAAAUUAUACGAAAUUAGUCAAACUCUAAACCCUCAUUUCCUCUCUUCUCGUCUCUCUCACUGUCCGCCCAGAGCCGCCGCUUGAAAUCGCCUCACAGCGGCGGCAACCUCCAAACCUCCCCAAUUUAACACCAAACAAACCCCCAUCCCUUCUUCUUUCCAAAUCCCCUAACCUCUCUCUCCAAAUCCUCUAGAACAUCUCGAUUUGUAGAUCUAGGAAUCAACAGAAAACCUAGUUCGUCCCCGUCUCAAUUUUCCCCAAUCUUGGCCCGUUUGGGGUCAAAACUUACAUCAAUGAACUCCUCAUGUUGAGUGCUAUCAUUUCAUGCCGGUCUUGUACCAUUUCAUGGUCGUCGGAGGUCAGUCAACUCACCAUUGACCGACCAAAAUUCCUUAGAUCAUUCGCCUCUCUUUUUUCUUGCGAUGCAAAAGCUAUUGUUAUGUAUAGCACUGGCCAAAAUGGAGAAUUCUGGCUAGUUCUCAUAUACCAAUAGUUUUCGCUUGCCGGUUUCUGCUUACACUCUUCCCAGAUUUGAAUAGAUAUGUAGCUUUUCUUUUUCUCUUUAAAUUACUUUCAAUUACAUGCUUCGUUGAUUAGUUAGGAUCUGUUAGGUUUACUUGAUUUUUCAAAGUUAAAACUUUAAUUGAAUCAGUAGUUAGUCACACAUCUUCUUGCUAGGGGAUUUGACUAUUGAAUUUUUAAUUAGUCGUUUAUUUGCUUUAGCAUGAUUAAUCAAUUGCCUUUUCUGAUUAAUUAUGUUCCAAUUACCUUUGAGUUUGUUUGUCUUCUCUUAAAUGUUUGGGCUUCUGUUUGAUUCAUUUGAGUAGGAGGUUUGGGCCUAUUGCCCCAAGGUCCAGGCAGAGUUAGUAGUGAAAUGCAAUUUACAAAGUUUAAAGGGGUAAUUGGGGAACUAGAUUUAGGGAAUAAUAUUGAUAACAUCAUGGGUUGCUUCUAGAAGAGUGUAGAAAAGGAUUGUUUAGCAAUAAAGAAAAAAAGAGGUCGGGGGUGAGGAGGUAAAUAACAGAAAACAGAAAGAGUAAAAGAAAAGGAAAAUAACAGAAAAUAGGUGUGAGAAUCUUCUAUAUAACAGUACACUCCCUCACAUAUUCCUGACACAUUCACACAUACACUCUACUCAUCUUUCUCACACAUAUUUAGAUUCAUAGAAAGUAGCCUGGAAUUUUCAAAUUCAAAUUCUAGAUCUGCAAAAACAACAAGCUCAAAAGGCAGAACAAAAAAAAAAUAGAGGGAUUUUUAAAAGGCUUUCUGAUUUCUGCUGUAUCGCUUUGAGAAUUUUUGGGACUCUCAGUUGUUGUUUAGACUAGAAGUUGAGGUUGACUUGCUAUUAUUCUACUGUUUUACUGACAACUUGUAGCUGAUUUUCUUUGUUUUCUUCUGUUUAGACCUUUAUUUGGUCUUUGACUGCUGUCUUGGUAUGUUCGGCUAUCUCUGCCACUCUGGUUUGACUCCUGAAUAAAAGUUCUACUCGUUUAUGUGCUGAUCCUGUUCAAUUUCAUAUAUUUGUUGUGUGUAAUUGUUGAUUUAUUUUGAUUUUCGUUCCCUGUUAAGCUCUGACACUAUUAUGUUCCAAAUCUCUUUGAAUCCUUAAAUUUAUCACAUGUAGUUGUUAGUUUAAGCUUAAAUUCCAUUCUCUGAUCAAGUUCGUACUAUCAAUGUAUGUAAUUCAACAGUUGGGUUGAUUAAUUGUCAAUGAAUAGAUUAACAUCUCCUGUUACUAAUCAUCUAGUUUAUGAGAUUGAUGAUCCUUGUUCAAAGUAAUAUUAACAGGUUAAAUCAAUUAUGCUCCGUUUGUCUAUUCGUUUUUACGUUAAUGGCAAUCAGAUUUACAAGGAUAGCCUAGUGGCUAUUUCCUUGUGAAUUAAGAGUUUAUUUAGAAGAGGUGAAAAUUUUAUGGCCCAACUUUGCUUUUGAGAAUAAGAAUGACCUGUAGGCAUAAGAUUAGAUUAAUACUAGUGAAACUAAAUGAACUAUUGUCCUUUUUAUUCAUAUGUAUAUGUACCUGUUAAUUUAAUAUUCUUGUAAUAAUUUAAGCUGCUUGUUUACAAUUUUGAAUGUGAUUUGCUCUAAUUGUAUGUGCUGGGCUCAUUUCGGAAGCACAAAAUCUUGUCUCAACUUUUAGAGCAAGGAUUAACUUGCAACUUAUGCGUGUUGGGCUGGUAUGUCGGUUUGGAGUCAUUUGGACUCUAUCACUAUCUUGCCCAGAUCUUCAAAGCCCAUUUCGAUCUGCUGACCAACUAUUUGGGCUGGUAAUUUAGAGGAACCCGACGCUUAGGGCUUCGUUUUGGGCCCCUUUGAACCUGUUUUAUUUCCUCACAUGAACAUUUAUUUUUACUCAAUCAAGUAAUUUAAAAGCGGUAAAAGGUAAAAUGCACAUAGGUUCUAAAUACAUAAUAAUUCGUUGAUUAAGACAAGUAUGAUUGUAAAGCGACCGUGCUUAAACCACUGAAUUCGGGAGUGCCUAAUAUCUUUUUUCAGGUUAACAAAAUUCCUUACCCGGUCUUCUGUGUUUCACAGACUUUAAACAGAGUCAAAUUUCUUGAAUUGGGAUUCUAAAAUAAAUGGUGAUUCGGAACACCAUAACUAAAUAAUUUCGAGUGGCGACUUUUUAAAAUUAAAAUAAAUAACCCCUUUUAAAAUAAUGAGCCGCCUUUGAGUCCUCUCGUAUAUAGAACCCUAACCCUAGCCGCCUCACCCCAAGAACUCUCGCGUAGACCUAGGAUAAUAUGGAUAUACUCCAUAUCUCCUUUCCUUUUCCUAUACUAACAAUGAUUCUUCCCCGUUUUCUUGACAUUAUUCGAUUGGUACUGAGUUAUUUAAGAAAGUCGAUAUUCGGGAGGUUUGUUUGGCUCCGAUUCUAGAUAAUUACCAUGUUCUUGACAUGAUACACCUAAAAUUUCAUCUGCUACCGAAUUAGUAUUUGCUCGAUUUUACCCUAAUGUGACACUUUCUGAUGCGCUCAUACAAAAGAAGACCGAGAGAUCGUGUAAGAGAGAACUCGACUAGGCUCCCAAAGAUCUAAUCUCACAAACUGAUUGGCCAAAACUUGAACAUCUGAUGCUAGAUGUCUCUCACCAAUUGGAAUAUAUGCAAGGCCACCCAUACUAACAACCUUUCCAUUCAAGGCAUCGACCACCACAUUGGCCUUCCCGGGAUGAUACAAAAUAGUGAUAUCAUAGUCUUUUAACAGCUCUAACCACCUUCGCUGUCUCAAAUUUAGAUCAUUUUUCUUAAACAAGUGCUGUAGACUCGGAUGAUCUGUGAAUACCUCGCACGACACGCCGUAGAGGUAAUGCCUCCAAAUCUUCAAUGCAUGAACAAUAACUACUAACUCUAAGUCAUGAAUAAGGUAAUUCUUCUCAUGAACCUUGAACUGCCGAGACGCGUAUGCAAUCACCCUGCCAUCCUGCAUCAAUACUGCACCAAGCCCAAUAUAUGAUGCAUCACCAUACAUGGUGUAAGACCCCAAACGCGUAGGCAACACCAACACUAGUGCUGUAGUCAAAGUAGUCUUGAGCUUCUGAAAGCUCAACUCACACUCAUAGGACUACUUGAAUAGGGCACCCUUCCGGGUUAAUCUAAUCAACGGGGUUGCGAUAGAUGAAAACCCCUCCAUGAAUCGGCGAUAAUAACUCGCCAAACCCAGGAAGCUCCGAAUCUAUGUAGCUGAAGUAGGUCUAGGCCAGUUCUGAACUACCUCAAUCUUCUUAGGAUCCACUUUAAUGCUCUAAGAAGAUACCACAUGACCCAAAAAGGCAACCGAAUCCAAACAAAACUCACACUUUGAAAACUUGGCAUAUAAGUGGCUAUCCCUCAAGGUCGGAAGUACAAUUCGAAGAUGCUACUCAUGCUCCUCUCGAUUGCGGGAGUAUACCAAAAUAUCAUCAAUGAAGACGAUCACAAAAGAAUCCAGAUAGGGCUUGAAUAUCUUGUUCAUCAUAUCCAUAUAUGUUGCUGGGGCAUUUGUGAAGCCAAAUGACAUCACUAGGAACACAUAAUGCCCAUACCGAGUCCAAAAAGCUUUCUUAGGGAUAUCUGAUGCCCUAAUCUUCAACUAAUGGUAACCAGAUCUCAAAGCAAUCUUAGAAAAUACUUUGGCACCCUGAAGCUUAUCAAAUAAGUCAUCAAUCCUCGACAGAUGAUACUUGUUCUUGAUAGUGACUUUAUUCAACAACCGAUAAUCAAUACCCAUCCUCAUCGUACCAUCCUUCUUCUUCACAAACUACACUGAUGCACCCCAGGAGGAGACACUAGGUAUAAUGAAUCCCUUAUCAAGCAAAUCCUAUAACUGCUCCUUUAGUUCCUUCAACUCAGCUGGGGCCAUACGGUAUGGUGGAAUAAAAAUGGGCUGAGUGCCCGGAGCCAAGUCAAUACAGAAGUCAAUAUCUCUGUCGGGUGGCAUCCCCGACAAUUCUGCAGGAAACACCUCUGGAAACUCACGCAUAACUGGUACUGAAACCAUGGAAGGAACCUCCGCACUAGGGUCAUGAAUAUAGGCCAAAUAUUCUAGACAUACCUUCUCGACCAUAUGCCGAGCCUUAAAAUAAUAAAUAACCCUGCUAGUAGAAUGGCCAGGAGUCCCUCUCCACUCUAAUCGAGGCAAUCCUGGCAUGGCUAAGGUCAUCAUCUUGGCGUGACAGUCCAAUAUAGCGUGAUAAGGUGACAACCAAUCCAUGCCCCAGAUAACAUCAAAGUCCACCAUAUCAAGAAGUAAGAGCUCUACACUAGUCUCAAGGCUCCCGAUAGAAACCACACACGAGCGAUAAACACGAUCUACAAUAAUAGAAUCUCCCACAGGCGUGGACAUAUAUAUAAGAGCACUCAAAGAAUCACAAGGCAUAACCAGUUAUGAAGCAAAAGAGGAUGACACGUACGAAUAAGUAGAUCCCAGAUCAAAUAGAACUGAAGCAUCUCUAUGGCAAACUGGAACAAUACCUGUGAUGACGGCGUCAGAUGACUCUGCCUCAGUUCUAUAUGGAAAUGCAUUAAAACGGGACUGGGCUCAUCACUCUGACCUCUGCCUCUCGGAUAGCCUCUAGCUGGCUGGCCUCUACCUCUAUUGGCCUGGCCUCCACCUCUAGUAUCCUAACCCCUGCCUCUAGCUGGCUGAGUGGGCGGUGAAGCAACCGGUGCCGGAACUAUGGAACGAGAACCCUGCUGUGGCAUGCCGCCCUGUGACCUGGGGCAAAAUCUAGCAACGUGCCUCGGAUCUCCACUAGUAUAACAAGCCCUCAGAUGCUGUGACUAUUGACCUUGGAACUGGCCCUGUCGACCUGGAAAACCACCCUGAUAACUCUGGAGUAGAGGUGCACUAAUAGGAGCUGAUGGUGCGCUGUAGGUUAGCUGCUCAGGAUGAGACCCAUAUGAACCACGACUACCUGAAGCAUCGCAGAAUACCUGAAGCGCUGACUGAAUCGACCUGUAAGGAUAGCCUCUACCAAAUAAACCUCUACUUCUAGAUGAGGCACUAGUGAAACCACCAAAAUGACGAGGCCUCUUCUCAGAUACCCUUUUCCUGACCACGAACCAUCUCGACCCCUCUAGCAAUCUCUACGCCCCUCUGUAAAGAAAUAUCAUCUCCGGUCUCCUUGGCCAUCUGUAGCCUAAAGUUGAAAGUAAGUACAUCAAUGAGUCUCCAUACUUUCUCCCUCUCAGUAGGGAGUAAGAUAACUACAUGGCGAGCUAGGUCCACAAAUCGGGUUUCAUACUGGGUAACAGUCAUGCUACACUGCUGAAGGCACUCAAACUGCCUGCGGUACUCCUCUCUCAAAGUGAUAGGUAUAAACUUCUCCAGAAACAACUGCAAAAAUGGAUCCCAAGUAUGCGACAUUGAACCACCUGAUCUGCUCCGCACAUGAUCCCGCCACCAUCUCUUGGUCGAACCGGUCAUCUGAAACACUUCAAAGUCUACUCCAUUGGACAAAACAAUACCCAUGUUACUCAACACCUCAUAGCAAUGGUCUAAUUAAUCCUGUGGGUCCUCAGAAGGUGCACGACUAAAGUGAAUAGGGAAGAGCUUUGUAAACUUAUCCAACCUCAUCAAUGUCUCAGAAGACAUCGCGGGCCUUUCCUCGGUCUAUGUGGAAACCACAGGCUGAACUACCCCAACUGGCUAGACUGCUGGAGUUUGAUAUAUGGGAGCUAUCUACUUCAGAGUGUGAGUAGCGGGAGUCUGAGCUCCUCCACUAUCCUGAGAGACAACCGGUGCCACCGGAAAUACACUAGUCGGUACACUCUCCAUAAGGCCUACUAAACGGACUAGAGCGUCCUGAAGCACGGGAGUGGCUAUAAAUCCGUCCGGGACCUGAGCGGGUCCGACUGGUGCAGUCUGAGCUGGGAUCUCCUCCUCAUGAUCAAUCUAAGUCUCCAUAGUGGGAUCUGCUACACGAGCUCUAGGUUGAGAUUUGCCUCAACCUAUGGCUCGACCUCGGCCUCUAUCCCUGGUAGUGGCUGCAACAGGGGGAUCUGGCUCCUUCCCGACUGUAGAUGUUGUGCGUGUUCACACCAUCUGCGAGAGAAGAAGAAUGGAAUGAUUUAAACGUCAAUGAUAGAAUACAAUCACACGAUAUGGAAAAAAAGAAGCGAAAUUUUCCUAAAACUCCAUAUCCUCUAGAAGAUAAGUACAGACGUCUCCGUACCAAUCCUCCAGACUCUACUAAGCUUGCUAUUGACUCGUGAGAACUAAGCAACCUAGUGCUCUGAUACCAACUUGUCACGACCCAGAAUCUUAACUUCGGGGUCUUGAUGGCGCCUAACAUCCACUUGCUAGGCAAGCAAAUAUUAGUUAAGCAAUUCAAUUCAGAAUAAUAACAAUUAUUAAUAAAGAUUAAAGCUGAAAUACAUGAAAUGAACCCAUAACAUAGCACGGUCUAACUCAACUCCAGAAGUCUGGUGUCACAAACAUAUGAGCAACUAAAAGUCUAUAAGUAUAGUUUGAAAUAAAUAUAACUGUUGGAAUGAGAUAAACAAUAAAGAUAGGAAAUGGAAGGGGACUUCAAGGUGCGAACGUCAGCAAAUCUACCUUAAGUCUUCGAAGAAAUUUGAUCCGAGCAGACGCACCUCUAAGCACCGAUGGGACCAAUACCAGUAUCUGCACAAAAAGUGCAGAAGUGUAGCAUGAGUACAACCGACCCAAUGUACUCCAUAAGUGUUGAGCCUAACCUCGAAAUGGUAGUGACGAGGCUAUGGAAAGACACCUAUGUAAAAACACUGUACAAAUAUAUAUAAAGUAGCAAAAUAACAAGAACAACUAUAAAAUAUUAACUGGGAGGGAACAUGCAAAAGGGAAAAUAUCAUAAAAAUGGCAAGUACGAAAUCAUAAAAUAACAUCUUCCAAAAUAAGUAACAAUAUAACCAAGUAAAUCAUCAAAAUCAAAAAUCAAAUAAGGCAAUGAAAUGAAUAUGGCACGACAUCACCCUUCGUGCUUUUACUCUCAUUCUCACCAUGUAAUAUCAUAAAUGAAAUGGCACGGCAUCACCCUUUGUUCUUUUACUCACCAUCACGAUAUCACCCUUCGUGCUUUGACUCUCAAAUCUGUCAAUAUAUGAUAAUGAAUGCAAAUAAGGCACGACAACAUCCUUCGUGCUUUUCUCUCUUCCUCACCAAGCAACAAUACAAAUCCGAAUAAUAAAAACAAGGCGGGAAACAAUUUCACUUCAAUUAUAGUUCCACGAUAUCAAACUCAACUUUCAAAAUAUUCAAAAUCUUUGAAAUAAACAAUAAAUACGAAAUGAAUAAUUAAAAGAAGUAAUAGUCUAACCUAAGCAUAGAAAAUAUAAUCAACGAAACAAUAUAAUACAGAGAAACAAUUUCCACCCGCAUGUUUUAACCUAAUGACAAUGCAUAGAUACUCAUCACCUCACAUAUACGUUGUCCCCACAUAUAUAACAUGUAGCAAAUAGACCAACAAGUCCUAAUCUCUCAAGUCAAAGUUAACCACGACACUUACCUCACUCCGCAACAAAAUCAAUGUUCAACUGCAACUUUUCCUCUAGCAUUAACCUCCAAACCAAUCAAAUCUAACUAAAUAUAGUUCAAAUAAUUCAAAAUAGGCUUUAGAAACUACCCACGAGUGAAAAGAUUCGAUCUUUAAUGAUUUUGGAAAAAGUUAACAAAAGUCAACCCAGGCCCGCUUGGUCAAGACCCGAGAAUCGAACCAAAACUCAAUUACCCAUUCACCACCGAGCUCGAUUAUGUGAUUAGUUUCGAAAUCCAACCUCAAUUUUAGAACUAAAUCUCAAUUUCUUAAAAUCCCCAAUUUCUACCUAAAUCCCUAAUAUAUACCAUUACAAAGUAUAGAUUAAAGGUUAAAAAUCAAUGGAUGUUUAUGAAAAUGUAAGGAAACAAGUUAAAAUCUACUAACAUAUGGAGUUGUGAUGAAAAACCUCUCCAAAAUCACCUCUAGGACGAGCUCAAACUUGAAAAUAGUGAAAAUGAAGAGAAAUCUCGAUUUUGAAAUAUUUAAAUCACUGGGCAUCAGGUAUUCUCCGCGUUCGCGAAACACCUGACGCGAUCGUGAAGCAUCAGUGGUCAGGAGGCCUUCGCGUUUGCAAGAAACUCUUCGCGUUCGCGAAGGCUUUAUCCUUCAUGCCUUCACGUUCGUGAGCCAAUGCAUGUGUUCGCGUUGGUAACUACCCGCCUCCCCCCAGAAUCGCCUUAAACCUUCAUGUUCGCGUGUGAACGGCCGCGUUCGCGAAGGGUAAGCCCUCCACUGCUUCGCGUUCCCAUCCAAUUCUAUGCAUUUGCAAAGAAUAACUCCACCCCAGCCCCAGUUUCUCCUUUCGCGAUCUCGAGAGUAGCUUCGCGAUCGCAUAACAUGAUACACUAGACAUCAACAACAGUGAAAAAAACCCAAAAAUUUUAUAAGUGCACAUGGUCUGUAGCCUAUCCGAAACUCACCCGAGCCCUUCGGGCUCCAAACCAAAAAUACACACAAGUGUAAUAACAUCAUACGAACUCGCAUGCAGGAUCAAAACACCAAGAACUAUAAAUCAGACAUCAAAAUGCAUGAAAUUUUCAAAGAAACUCAAGAACUUCCAAAUUCACAACCGAGCGUCCAAGUCCUAUCAAAUCAACUCCGUUUUGCACCAAAUUUUGCAGACAAAUUUAAAUAAAAAAAUGAACAUAUACCAAGUUUCAAAACCAAAAUUCGAACCCAGUAGCCAUAAAGUCAACCUAAGGUCAAACCUAUAAAAUCUUUAAACCCUUAAGUUACUAGUUUUCGACAAAUCAAGUCAAAUCAUGUCAGGGACUUUCGAAUUCUAUUUCGGGCAUACGCCCAAGUCCAAAUCAAGAUACAGACCCACCGGGAUUGUCAAAAUACCGAUCCUGGGUCCUUUACACAAAAUGUUGAACGUAGUCAACCCAAGUCAUUUUUAAAGUCAAAAUCAUGUUUUCUUCAAAUAUUUCACAUAAACUCUAUCCGAAAAAGGACACAGACUGCGCACUCAAAUCGAGAAAUACUAAAUAGAACUAAUAGAGGUCUUAGAACAUUAAAAUAAGGGCUAGAACUCAAAAUGACCUAUCGGGUCGUCAUAGCCUGAUUUUGGUACUGAGUUCGAAUGUGCUUCAUCCGUCUGACCUUAUGCAUUUGGAGCUUGGGGGUGACGACCCGACUUUUCAUUUCGAGAAUUAACUUCCCGUUCAGUGACUUAAGAUCCCGAGCAGCUUCGUAAUGUGUAUUAUGACUUGCAUGUCUGGUCGAGAUUGGUUUCCAGAUGAUUCGGGAUUAAAUUGAAAGAACAAUUCUUAUUUUUGAAGCUUUAAUGAAAAGAGUUGACCGGAGUUUGACCUUUAAGCAAACAACUCCGGAAUGGAAUUUUUAUGGUUUCAAUAGCUUUGUAUGGUGGUUUCGGACUUAGGCUUAUGCCCGGAUUUGUAUUUGGAGGUCCAUAGGGUAAUUUGAAGUAUUUCGGCAAAAAUUGAAAAGUUAAAGUUUUGGAAGGUUGAGAGGUUUGACCGAGAGUUGACUUUGGUGAUAUCAGAGUCGGAAUGUGAUUCCGAGAGUUGGAUUAGCUCCGCUAUGUCAUUUGAAACUUGCAUGAAAAAUUUGGCGUCAUUCCGGGUUGAUUUGAUAUGUUUCGGCGCGAGAUUUAGAAGUUUUUAGAUUUGGAAAUUUAUAAGCUCGAUUCCUGGUGCGAUUUGUAGUUUUGACAUUAUUUUAUGUGAUUUAAGAUCUUAAGUGGGUUCGUGUUAUGUUAUGGAACUUGUUGGUAUGUUUUGACGGGGCCCGGGGUCUCUGGCGUGUUUCAGAUGGGUUACAGGCCAUUUCUUCAUGUUUUAGAGUUGUUGGUUUCUGGUGUUGCUGUGUCUCUUCGCGAUCGUAAAGUGAUUAUGGGAAACUCAGCAUUUUUGCUCAUCGCGGACGCGACAGUGGGCAUGCAUUCGUGAAGGUUCAGCUGGUUGUUGUUCUUGUUUGCGUAGGGUGUUCCGCGUUCGCAUAAGGGAAUUGGAGACUGGUGGAAUGUUACUCGUCGCAUUCGCGAGAUUUGGUAUGCGUUCAUAAAGGUUGGCCAUUCUGUUCAUUGCGUUCGUGAGGUGUUUGCUGCGAAUGCGUAGCUCAUUUCCUUGAGCAGUGAUUUUUGUGUUCCGCGAUCGCGAGGUGUGUUCCGCGAUCGCGUAAGAGGAAUGCCUAGGUAGAGUUAUAAGAACUCUAUUUUGAGGGUUUGGCCAAUUUAAUCAUAUUUUGAGUUGUAGACCUCGGAUUUGAGCGAUUCUUCUUCGGAUUUUCAAGCAAAUCAUUGGGGUAAGUGUUCUUCACCCAAAAUUUAUUAUAUUCCAUGAUCCUCUCUUUAUUUUAUCUUAUAAUUAGUGUUUUGGAUUGAGGAAAAAUGGAAAUUUUUGAACAAAUCUUUCAAAAUGUAAAAUGAUGAUUUGAAGGAUGAAUUGGUAUCAGAAUUUGGUAAUUCUUAUAUGGUUGGACUUGUUAUCGAAUGGGUGUUUGGAUUUUAUAAUUUUUGUCAGGUUUUGAGAUGCGGGCCCAGGAGGUUGACUUUUGGGUUGACUUGUAGUUCUUGUUAAAGAUUGAAGCUUUAUUAUCCAGAAUUGUUUCUUAUGAGUUUUAUUUAUGAUUUGAAGUUAUUUUGGCUAGAUUUGAGCCGUCCGGAGGUUCUUUCUCUCGAGAAGAUCAUUUUAGAGUAUCGGUCUAGCUUCUUUGAGGUAAGUAUCUUUCCUAACUUUGUGUGGGGGAGCUACCUCUUAGGAUUCGAGUAUUUUGUGCUAACUGUGUCAUGUGAAGGCCAUGUACGCGAGGUGACGAGUACGUGCUCGGGCUUAUUUGUGGAAAUUUGACUGUUUAGGGCUCUUAGGUUCUUAUGUUCAUUAUAUAUGAAGUUGUUUUGUCAUUUUAAAUUCCCCAUUUACUAAAUUCACCCUUACGUGUAUUAUUUGGAAUUAAUUGCUUCAUGUUUUACCCUUAUUGCCGAUUAAACUCUUAUGUACCUUAACUGAAAUUGUUGUCUCUUUUAUCAUCAUGCUAUCCUUUCCGUAAUUUCUUAACCUUAAUUGAAAUCAGUAUUAUCUCUUCCGUAAUUGCUUAACCUUAACGAAAUUAGUAUUAUCUCUUCCGUAAUUGCUUAGCCUUAAUUGACGUUUGUUAUCCCUUUCGUUGUUGAUGUAUUCUUAUUUGGGGUCAUUGAUUCAUGCUAUCUCUUGUCGAAUUGUACUUUCGUGGAAUCAUUGUUACACAUUACCUCUCCCUUGUUGAACUAUUCUUCUUGAGACUAUUAUUUCCCUGUUGUGUCUUCCUUUGUGAGUUCGUUCUUCCGUUUCUUUGUGUUCAUAAGUUCUUGUGUUGAUUUACUUGCCGUAUUCUUGUGUUAUUGUUGUUGUUGCUAUUGUAUUCAGUGUUGUUGAGCCGAGGGCUAUGCGUGGUUGUGAUAUUGAAACUGUUUUGAGGAAAUAUUGUGGCAUAUGGGCACAUAUUGUGUAGGUCAUUUUUGUUGAGUAGUUAUGUUUUGGCACACAUGUUAUUUUUGCAAGGAUUGUUAUUGUGUUUGCAUGAGGUUUUUGCUGUGCGGUUGUUAUUAUAUUUGCACGAGGUUUCUACCAUGUGGUUGUUAUUAUGUUUGCACGAGGUUUUUGCCAUGCGGUUAUUAUUGUGUUUGCACGAGGAUUUUGCCUUGCGGUUGUUAUUGUGUUGCACGAUGUUUCUGCCAUGCUGUUGUUAUUAUUGAUAUGCAUGCGGUGGUAUAAGGUCUGGGUGUUGAAACGUAUGCAGUGAGAUAAGGUGGGCUUGAAAUGCGUGGCUAGUAGGGGAACUACUAGAAGCCAUGCGGUGUGAUAAGGUGGGAUAAAAUGCGGGACGCUAUUUCGGGAAAAUGAUUUUCAAAACUAAAUAUAAAGGCUCCCGCGGUGAUAUAAGGAAAGUUGUGAUUCAUUUUACGAUUUGAGACUACGAGGCUGUACUUUGGGAGGGCUCUUGUUGUUAUUUCCCCUUUUCUAUGCACUUGUCUUUGAUUGUUGUUUUCCUUAGCAUACUAAUAAUUAUUUUCCUCCGUGAUGCACUUUUUGCUAAGUUCUAUGUAGCUAAUCUUGUUGUGCUAGCCGCUGCUACAAACUUCAUUGCUGCUUUUAUGACACUGUACAUUUCGUGGUGAUUGUUUCUUAUGCGCCAUUCAUCGUCUCUACUCCUAUUUAUUGACUGGAAUUGUAGUAGAACACUUGCACAAGCAUACACGUAAUUAAAUCACCCAUAUCAGUUUCAAAAGGUGAAUCCUGACAUCGUUAACCAUUAUACGUACUCUUGUCUACUUGCCUUCUGUGUGAGGAAUGGUCUAUUGUCAUGUGGGUUGUCCGUGCGGAUAUGAGUUGUUAUGUGGGGACAGGAUGCCAAGUGAUUAGGGUUCAAAAAUUGGGAUUUUCAUUGUGAUAUUUUCAUUGAACUGUUUAAUUCUAUCCCGAACAGUUGCAUUUAGGGAUUUUUCUAGCAAACUCAGUAGAGCUUAUGACUUGUACUAUCGGUUUUGGGAAUUGUAAUUAUGUAUAAGAUUUUUAUCUCGUAUUUAUCAUUCGAUGGUUGAAUUCUUCUAUUAAUUCAGUAAGUGUUAGGCUUACCUAGUCUUAGAGACUAGGUGCCGUCACGACAUCCUAUGUAGGAAAACUGGGUUCGUGACAAGUUGGUAUCAGAGCUCUAGGUUCAUAGGUGCUACGAGUCAUAGGAGAGUUUAGUAGAGUCUUGCGGAUCGGUACGGAGACGUCGGUACUUUUCUUCGAGAGGCUAUAAAACUAUUAGGGCGGUUUCAUUUCCUUCAUUCCUAUCGUGCGAGUUUAUUGAUCUCAGAGUUUAUACCUUUGGCAUUCUAUUCUCUCACAAAUGGUGAGGUCACGAGCUGCAGUUACCGACGAUGCUGCCCCCAGAGCCGGUGUUUCUAGGGACCGGGCAGAGGCAAAGGCAGAGGACGAGGAGGAGCAUGUGCUACAACUAGAGUACCUGUUCGAGCAGCCGUUGAGGAGCCACCAGUAGCUCCUGUUGGGGUAUAGGUACCAGAGGCGCAUGUUGUUACCCCCGGACUUCGGGAGACUUUAGCAUAGUUCAUGAGCAUGUUUGGUACAUUGGCUCAGGCGGGGUUAAUUUCGGUUGCACCAGCUACUUCACAGAUCGGGGGAGGAGAUCAGACUCCCGCCGCCCGUACUCCAAAGCAGCGAGUCCACGUUGGUCAGGUUUCGGGUAUCAUGCCGGCACAACAUGUUGUCCCAGUUCAGCCCGUGAUUAGGGCAGCAACAUAUGAGGAAGAACAGCUUAGACUUGCGAGGUUCAAGAAGUAUUACCUUCUUACUUUCAGUGGGUUGGCUUCAGAGGAUGCACAUGGGUUCCUAGGGGAGUGCUACCGUAUUCUCUGCACAAUGGGUAUUGUGGAGACGAGUGGGGUUUCUUUCACUACGGUCCAACUUAAGGGAGCAGCAUAUUAGUGGUGGCGAGCGUAUGAGUUGGGUAGUCUGGCCGAUGCAGCUUCACUUUCAUGGGUUCCGUUUUUAGGAAUGUUAUUAAGAGAGUUUGUUCCCCAGACCCUUUGGGAUGCAUGGCGCGUAGAGUUUGAGCAGCUGUGCCAGGGCACUAUGUUGGUGUAAGAGUAUGCCGUUAGAUUCAAUGGUUUGUCCAGACAUGCACCUGUUUUGGUUUCUACAUUCAGAGAGUGAGUCAGUAGGUUCAUUGAGGGGACCCGUCAGGAUAUCCGGUUCAGCAUGGCUCGAGAGUUGGAGUCUGAUGUUUCAUUUCAGUAGGUAGUAGAGAUCGUCCGUCGACUAGAGGGCAUGUGGGAUCAGGAGAGAGAGGGCAAGGAGGCUAAGAUGCCUUAUAGGUGACGAGCUCCAAACACACACCUAAAUUAUGCUCGCUAGUCAAAUAUAGUAUAGUAUAGUAUAAUAUCGUAUCCACAGGGAUUGGAUUUAAACAGUAUUCUCGUAGUUUCUAGAUUGGUUGCUAUCCAAGAUGAUCAACAGUUGAGUUUUAUAAGAUGUCUAACUAAAAUUAACUAAGAAUCUAAAGCUAUUGACUAAUGACAAUUGAAACAAGGAAUAAGAAAAGAAGGUUAUCAAUGGGAGAACAUAGAGUUUUGAUGGGAUAGGUGCAAGUUAAUUAUUUGGGAUCUAACUCUAGGUAAUUCACUUNNNNNNNNNNNNNNNNNNNNNNNNNNNNNNNNNNNNNNNNNNNNNNNNNNNNNNNNNNNNNNNNNNNNNNNNNNNNNNNNNNNNNNNNNNNNNNNNNNNNNNNNNNNNNNNNNNNNNNNNNNNNNNNNNNNNNNNNNNNNNNNNNNNNNNNNNNNNNNNNNNNNNNNNNNNNNNNNNNNNNNNNNNNNNNNNNNNNNNNNNNNNNNNNNNNNNNNNNNNNNNNNNNNNNNNNNNNNNNNNNNNNNNNNNNNNNNNNNNNNNNNNNNNNNNNNNNNNNNNNNNNNNNNNNNNNNNNNNNNNNNNNNNNNNNNNNNNNNNNNNNNNNNNNAUCAAUGAUUCAACUAGCUUCUCUCAAUUUCUAAGAAGAAUUAAAGAACUCAACCAAUAAUAUUAUGCAAGGAUAUCACAAGUUAUGCCUCUCUCAAUUACAUGAACUAGUGAAUAUAGAUGCAACAGUUAAAUCAUCCAAAAACGCUUCAAUACAUAAAACUAGAGUUAUAAUCCACAAACAAUCAUCUAUACACCAAAUCCAUCAAACUCUAAAGAGAACUACUCCAUAGACAUGGAGCAAUUCAUCACAAAUAUAACUAAAGUAUAGGAAAACAUAAAUUCAAUCCAAACUUGGGUCUAGAGUGAGGAAGGAAUGAUGAAAUCCUUGUGCUCGUGUUCUUCCAACUCCUUCUUAGCCUCCUUAGGUCGAAUAUGUGUCAAAAGCCCAGAAAAUAACGUUUUUCAUGUAUUUAUACCAAGUAGGGUCGGCCCUAGAUGAAAUCACCUUUUCCUAGCCGAAAUAGGAAAAUAACUCUGUAAAAAUUAUACAGGCGUGCCUCAUGGUGCGACGCGCCAUGCGGGGCAUUAGUGGAGCAAUCCAGAGAGUUGACUUCUGACAGACAGCAGGGAUUUGCACAAGCGCGGCAACCCCACAUGCCGUGACAGUGGGGAAUUCUCAGAGUACAGAUCAAAUCUCAAUUUUUGACGUCCAGACUUUGUCCUCGACCCCCAAACACGAUCCCGGCUUAAUCCCUUGAGCUUUUACUCAGACUUCAAAUCUCCAAAUAGCUCGAAUUCAUUCCAUAAUAUCUACAUAGCUCGGAAUCACUCCUACAAGGCAGAAAAAGACACAAUAAGUGCAAAAUACUAUCAAUUAAAGCUCAAACAUGAAUAAAGUGCAGUGAACUAUAGUGCAAUAAGCGACUAAAAUACGUAAUUAUAGCCUACGAUCAACACCCCACACUUAAACCAUUGCUCAUCCUCGAGCGAUCAAAUUACACUGCAUAUAGACACAACCUUUUUAAAGAACUCUCAUAACUCAUCACACCAAGAAAAUUUGAAACAGAUGAAGCACAAUACCGUAACAUCCUAUCCUCAAGAUUUGACUCAAAAGCACCAUGCGUUAUUUAUAACCCGCUCACUUACUCUAACACAGAGGUCAACGACAUUACCUUUCCUUUAUGAAUCAAGUGCCCUGACACAACAAUAGAGAGUAGUUCUCACACAAUGAAAUUUAAGAACAAUUAGGAACUCAAGAUAGAAAGAAUUCACUUACUCUCAGAAACAACAUUCAUAUGCCACGAAAGAUGUACCAUAGGCUUUCUCGUAGCGUACUACUCUACUAAUUGAGCUCAUUCAGUCAAGGAUCAAGUAGGACUUUAACUGGUUGUAAUGUAGGCUACGAGAUGGGUAGGAUACAUUUAGAUAUAAGAGUGACUACCCCUAAGCACUUUAAUAAUACAAUUAGCCAUUCAAAACCCCAUACUUAUGUCAAACCAUAACUCCACCUUCACAUCAAUAUACACUAACUCCCUACUUCUUUAAGCACAAUUACAUCAAGUUACCACUAUCAAGGAACAUUUUUCACAAUCAUACACUUUUUUUCCUCUUUCAAUUCAAGUGGCUCUUACUUUUUCAAAACAGUGCACCUUCUUCCUUAUUUCGAUAGUUCCACUCAAAAGUCAAACCAACCACCCCUCACUUCAACUUUUACAAAGUUCAUAAAUAAUUCAAGUGCUCACGAGAGGUAAAUGAUUCAAAUAGAUGGUCAAUUCAAACAAAUGGGUAAGGCGUGUAAUGUGGUUGCCAAAGAAACAAGAUUAUAGGCUCAAGGGGGUUAACUAAGAUACAUAACAAUUAGGUGGGUAAAAGCCUAUAACUGGCUCAACAAAGAAAUGCCUAAAUCACUUUCCAGACUGAAUAAAACUACUAUUUCGUGUUGCAAACACACGGGGCAAGUUCUAGACAUCAAAUGCAACGCACAGAAUAACACAAAACCUCACACACACAUGGCAUAUAACUCACUCAGGAUUAGAUUAUCAAGACACUCUAGUCAAAGCAGUUAAGCAAAGUUAAGAUCAUACAAUUUAAGGUACUUAUACAAGAUUCAAAAACUGAGCCUAAGCGUCACAACUAAAGCACUCAUUAUUCUCAAGGCAAAGUAAAGUCAAGAGAUAUUGCCUUCAAUUCAAACCAUAGCACAAGAUUUCCUACUCCUAAAAAAAUAAAAACUAACAACACCCGAUUCAAACAAAACCCUUGGAAAAGAACCGCGGCACAAUGAAAAAUCAAGGGACUUGUUACACUAUCUACAAAAGAAAAACUUUUUGUAUUUUUCUUUUGACUUUAAUCCCUCAAGAAAUCAGUCAAUGAUAUCCAUCGUCGGGAAAAAUCAAAUGUUUUUUAAAAUUUUUAUGAUUUGUUUUCAANNNNNNNNNNNNNNNNNNNNNNNNNNNNNNNNNNNNNNNNNNNNNNNNNNNNNNNNNNNNNNNNNNNNNNNNNNNNNNNNNNNNNNNNNNNNNNNNNNNNNNNNNNNNNNNNNNNNNNNNNNNNNNNNNNNNNNNNNNNNNNNNNNNNNNNNNNNNNUUNNNUUUUUUCUAUCUCCAACUACUACAACUAGCAAAAAGAAAACUAAUAUAUAUACAUACAUACAUACAUACAUACAUACAUACAUACAUACAUACAUACAUACAUACAUACAAAUAUCCCCCACCCCACACUUUAAGUUGUGGCAUGUCCUCAUGAUACAUAAUUAAAAAGCAAGAGGUAAAGAAAACUUCCCUGAAUUUUCUUCUUUUCCGAGAACUUAUGAACUCUACCCCUAAUUCUGAAUUCAUUCCUCGUUUUUGCUCCUUGGGAUUUUUGGUGAAGCUUAUUAAGCCCAAUUCUUAUGAGCCAUCCAGAGGUUGUUUCUCUCGAGAAGGUCAUUUUAGAGUAUCGGUCUAGCUUCUUUGAGGUAAGUAUCUUGCCUAACUUUGUGUGAGGGAGUUACCCCUUCGGAUUUGAGUCAUUUGUGCUAAUUGUGUCAUGUGAAGGCCGUGUACGCGAGGUGACGAGUACGCGCUCGGGCUUAUUUAUGGAAAUUUGACCGUUUAGGGCUCUUAGGUUCUUAUGUUCAUUAGAUAUGAAGUUGUUUUGUCAUGUUAAAUUCCCCAUUUACUAAAUUUACCCUUACGUGCCUAAUUUGGAAUUAAUUGCAUCAUGUUUUACCCUUAUUGUCGAUUAAACUCUUAUGUGCCUUAGUUGAAGUUUUUGCCUCUUUUAUCAUCAUGCUAUCCUUUCCAUAAUUUCUUAACCUUAAUUGAAAUUAGUAUUAUCUCUUCCGUAAUUGCUUAACCUUAAUCGAAAUUAGUAUUAUCUGUUCCAUAAUAGCUUAGCCUUAAUUGAAGUUUCUUAUCCCUUUCAUUGUUGACGUAUUCUUAUUUGGAGUCAUUGAUUCAUGCUAUCUCUCUUGUUGUCGAAUUGUACUUUAGUGGAAUCAUUGUUACACAUUACCUCUCCCUUGUUGAACUAUGACUAUUAUUUCCCUGUUGUGUCUUCCUUUGUGAGUUCGUUCUUCCGUUUCUUUGUGUUAUGAAGUUCUUGUGUUAAUUUACUUGCUGUAUUCUCAUGUUAUUGCUGUUGUUGCUAUUGUAUUCAGUGUUGUUGAGCCGAGGGCUAUGCAUGAUUGUGAUAUUGAAACUAUUUUGAGGAAAUGUUGUGGCAUAUGGGCACAUAUUGUGAAAGUCAUUUUUAUUGAGUUGUUAUGUUUUGGCACACAUGUUAUUGUUGAAAGGAAUGUUUUUGUGUUUGCACAAGGUUUCUGCCAUGCAAUUGUCUUUGUGUUUGCAUGAGGUUUCUGCCAUGCAAUUGUCUUUGUGUUUGCAUGAGGUUUCUGCCGUGCGGUUGUUAUUGUGUUUGCACAAGGCUUUUGCCGUGCGGUUGUUAUUGUGUUGCACGAGAUUUCUGCUGUGUUGUUGUUAUUAUUGAUACUCAUGCGGUAGUAUAAGGUGUGGGUGUUGAAACGCAUGCGGUGAGAUAAGGUGGGCUUGAAACGCGUGGCUAGUAGGGGAACUACUAGAAGCUAUGCGGUGUGAUAAGGUGGGCUAAAACGUGGGAUGCUAUUUCAGGAAAAUGAUUUUCAAAACUAAAUAUAAAGGCUCCCGCGGUGAUAUAAGGAAAGUUGAGAUUCAUUUUACGAUUUGAGACUACGAGGCGGUACCUCGGGAGGGCUCCUUUUAUCAUUUCCCCUUUAUGUGCACUUGUCUUUGAUUGUUGUUUUCCUUAGCAUACUACUAAUUGUUUUCUUCCAUGAUGCACUUUUUGUUCAACUCUAUGUAGCUAAUCUUGUUUUGUUGGUCGCUGCUUCAAACUUCAUUGCUGCUUUUAUUACACUGUACAUUUCGUGGUGAUCAUUUCUUAUGCACCAUUCAUUGUCUCUACUGCUAUUUAUUCACUAGAAUUGUGGUAGAACACUUGCACAAGAAUACACAUAGUUAAAUCACCCAUAUCGGUUUCAAAAGGUGAAUCCUGACGUCAUUAACCAUUAUACGUACUCUUGUCUACUUGCCUUCCAUGUGAGGAAUGUUCUAUUGGCAUGUGAGUCAUCCAUGCGGAUAUGAGUAGUAAUGUGGGCACAUGACGCCAAGUGAUUAGGGUUCAAGAAUUGGGACCUGCGAGCUGUGAUUAUGAGGUUCGGUACCUCGUGGAAAUGCUUGAACAAAUAUGGUGUGACAUUGGUUGUUCUUUUUGAGCUGUUGCUAUUUUUUCCUUUAUUUUGAUUUCACUGGACUUAGACUGUGUCCAGCAUACUCUACGACAUUGUUUCCUGACUGCUUCAUGUUAAAUAUUGUUGUUAUUGGUGUCUCGUUGCAAGUAUUUUUUGGUAUUCUUUACCGUACUUAGUUGUAUAUUAAUAUUGUUUUUCUCUGUUAGUUCACCUUCACACUUGUUCAGGUUGUUUAGUUCGGUAGGUGUCUUUACUGUCCCUCGUCACUACUCCACCGAGUUUAGUUUUGAUACUUACUGGGUACCGUUGUGGUGUACUCAUACUAUGCUUCUGCACAUAUUUGUGCAGAUCCAGCUGCCAUGGUUGUUGUUGAUUAUUAACUGGUUGGUCGAGCUGUGGAGACUCAGGGUAAACCUUCCAUCGCGUUCGCAAGCCUCAGAGUCGCCUUCUGAUAUUUUCAUUGUACUGUUCAAUUCUAUCCCGAACAUUUGCAUUUAGGGAUUUUUCUAGCAAACUCAGUUGAGCUUAUGACUUGUACUACUAGUUUUCGAAAUUGUAAUUAUGUAUAAGAUUUUUAUCUUGUAUUUAUCAUUCAAUGAUUGAAUUCUUCUAUUAAUUCAAUAAGUGUUAGGCUUACCUAGUCUAAGAGACUAGGUGCCGUCACGACAUUCUACGGAGGGAAACUGGGGUCGUGACAUUGGGCCUGUUGGCUUGCAUUAAGUUCGAGGAUAUUGAAGGCCUAGAUAUGUUAUCGAGUUAUUUGUGUAUUUGUAUUGGGCCUGUAAUUAUUCAUUCUGGGUCUGUAAUAGUUUAUAAAAUUAAUAAGUGG